AUCAAAAAUAGAGGCGCGGUUUACCGGGUAGCAGCAAAUGAUAAGGAACAUUAUUUCCGAGGUUGCCUGUGAAGGGGGAAAUCGCCGAAAGACCGGAUCUAUAAUGGGAGAAGGACUUGGGGCAAAGGCACACUGCUUUUGCACUGUCAUGUGAAAACAUGGGGCGCUAUUCAUCAG
Roseburia sp. 40_7 is the source of this 177-nucleotide non-coding RNA. The record is from Rfam. NCBI's taxonomy places the organism in Bacteria, Bacillati, Bacillota, Clostridia, Lachnospirales, Lachnospiraceae.